This 244-nucleotide ribosomal RNA is filed under the name uncultured bacterium. RNAcentral describes it as "partial small subunit ribosomal RNA". It matches the Rfam family "Bacterial small subunit ribosomal RNA", at positions 26 to 285 of the family's 1533-position model. The record is from RNAcentral.
AGAAUCAACGCUGGCGGCGUGCCUAACACAUGCAAGUCGAACGAGAAAGUGGAGCAAUCCAUGAGUAAAGUGGCGCACGGGUGAGCAACACGUGACUAACCUACCCUUGAGUGGGGGAUAACCUAGGGAAACCUGGGCUAAUACCGCAUAAUACCUUCGGGUCAAAGGAGCAAUUCGCUUAAGGAGGGGUCGCGGCCGAUUAGUUAGUUGGCGGGGUAAUGGCCCACCAAGACUGUGAUCGGUA